GAUCAUGGCUCAGGAUGAACGCUAGCGACAGGCUUAACACAUGCAAGUCGAGGGGCAACACAGGUAGCAAUACCGGGUGGCGACCGGCGCACGGGUGAGUAACGCGUAUGCAACUUACCUAUCAGAGGGGGAUAACCCGGCCAAAGUCGGACUAAUACCGCAUGAAGCAGGGGUCCCGCAUGGGGAUAUUUGCUAAAGAUUCAUCGAUGAUAGAUAGGCAUGCGUUCCAUUAGG
This 234-nucleotide ribosomal RNA is filed under the name uncultured bacterium. RNAcentral describes it as "partial 16S ribosomal RNA". It matches the Rfam family "Bacterial small subunit ribosomal RNA", at positions 15 to 245 of the family's 1533-position model. The record is from RNAcentral.